AACUUUUAACAACGGAUCUCUUGGCUCUCGCGUCGAUGAAGAACGCAGCGAAAUGCGAUAAGUAAUGUGAAUUGCAGAAUUCAGUGAAUCAUCGAAUCUUUGAACGCAUCUUGCGCUCCUUGGUAUUCCGAGGAGCAUGCCUGUUUGAGUGUCAUUCAACUUCUCAACCACAUUCGUUCAUUGAUUGUGGCUUGGAUGGUGGGGGUUUAUUUGCAGGCUUCUUCUGUGAAAACAGAAAGGUCGGCUCCCCUGAAAUGUAUCAGUGGUAUCUGAGGCUAUUGCUAUAGGUGUGAUAAUUAUCUAUGCCCUUGGUAUGCCGCAUGGAACUGCUUCCAACAGAGAUGAUCUUUUUGAUGAAUUUGACCUCAAAUCAGGUAGGACUACCCGCUGAACUUAAGCAUAUCAAUAAGCGGAGGCU
Molecule: unclassified non-coding RNA, 418 nt
Filed under: uncultured Inocybe
Lineage: Eukaryota; Fungi; Basidiomycota; Agaricomycetes; Agaricales; Cortinariaceae
Description: sequence contains ITS2
Rfam family: 5.8S ribosomal RNA (bases 1-154)
Source: RNAcentral